RNAcentral lists this long non-coding RNA (210 nucleotides) under Nicotiana benthamiana. Its description in RNAcentral is "long non-coding RNA (NBEN_LNC033519)". Lineage: Eukaryota; Viridiplantae; Streptophyta; Magnoliopsida; Solanales; Solanaceae. The record is from RNAcentral.
ACGCAUUAGAAUAGUACACAAGACACGACCCCAGCUAAUGGUAUACCUGGGAUAAUUUGGCACAGGCAUUCAUUGGACAUUUUCAGUUUAACCUUGAGAUAUCCCUGAUUGUCUGUCAUUGUUGAAAUUUGAGAAGAAUCCACGAGAGAGAUUAGAGAAUUUGGUUUCCACUGGAGGGAACAAUCAGCCAUAGUGGAUCCUCCGAUGAGG